This 425-nucleotide ribosomal RNA is filed under the name uncultured prokaryote. RNAcentral's name for it is "bacterial SSU rRNA". It matches the Rfam family "Bacterial small subunit ribosomal RNA", at positions 355 to 796 of the family's 1533-position model. The record is from RNAcentral.
UGGGGAAUCUUGGACAAUGGGGGCAACCCUGAUCCAGCGACGCCGCGUGGGUGAUGAAGGCCUUCGGGUUGUAAAGCCCUUUCGACGGGGACGAUGAUGACGGUACCCGGCGAAGAAGCACCGGCUAACUCCGUGCCAGCAGCCGCGGUAAGACGGAGGGUGCUAGCGUUGUUCGGAAUCACUGGGCGUAAAGGGCGCGUAGGCGGCGCAGCGUGUCGGCUUGUGAAAGCCCGGGGCUCAACCCCGGAGGUGCGGCCGAAACUGCUGUGCUGGAGGCCGGAAGAGGAGGGUGGAAUACCCAGUGUAGAGGUGAAAUUCGUAGAUAUUGGGUGGAACACCGGUGGCGAAAGCGGCUCUCUGGUCCGGUCCUGACGCUGAGGCGCGAAAGCGUGGGGAGCAAACAGGAUUAGAUACCCCCGUAGUCC